Molecule: ribosomal RNA, 253 nt
Filed under: uncultured bacterium
Lineage: Bacteria
Description: partial 16S ribosomal RNA
Rfam family: Bacterial small subunit ribosomal RNA
Source: RNAcentral
UACGUAGGGGGCAAGCGUUGUCCGGAUUUAUUGGGCGUAAAGAGCGUGUAGGCGGCCAGGUAGGUCCGUUGUGAAAACUCGAGGCUCAACCUCGAGACGCCGAUGGAAACCAUCUGGCUAGAGUCCGGAAGAGGAGAGUGGAAUUCCCGGUGUAGCGGUGAAAUGCGCAGAUAUCGGGAGGAACACCGAUUGCGAAGGCAGCUCGCUGGGACGUCACUGACGCUGAGACGCGAAAGCGUGGGGAGCAAACAGG